GUCGAGCGGGGAAAGGUAGCUUGCUACUUGACCUAGCGGCGGACGGGUGAGUAAUGCUUAGGAAUCUGCCUAUUAGUGGGGGACAACAUCUCGAAAGGGAUGCUAAUACCGCAUACGUCCUACGGGAGAAAGCAGGGGACCUUCGGGCCUUGCGCUAAUAGAUGAGCCUAAGUCGGAUUAGCUAGUUGGUGGGGUAAAGGCCUACCAAGGCGACGAUCUGUAGCGGGUCUGAGAGGAUGAUCCGCCACACUGGGACUGAGACACGGCCCAGACUCCUACGGGAGGCAGCAGUGGGGAAUAUUGGACAAUGGGGGGAACCCUGAUCCAGCCAUGCCGCGUGUGUGAAGAAGGCCUUUUGGUUGUAAAGCACUUUAAGCGAGGAGGAGGCUACCGAGAUUAAUACUCUUGGAUAGUGGACGUUACUCGCAGAAUAAGCACCGGCUAACUCUGUGCCAGCAGCCGCGGUAAUACAGAGGGUGCAAGCGUUAAUCGGAUUUACUGGGCGUAAAGCGCGCGUAGGUGGCCAAUUAAGUCAAAUGUGAAAUCCCCGAGCUUAACUUGGGAAUUGCAUUCGAUACUGGUUGGCUAGAGUAUGGGAGAGGAUGGUAGAAUUCCAGGUGUAGCGGUGAAAUGCGUAGAGAUCUGGAGGAAUACCGAUGGCGAAGGCAGCCAUCUGGCCUAAUACUGACACUGAGGUGCGAAAGCAUGGGGAGCAAACAGG
This 721-nucleotide ribosomal RNA is filed under the name uncultured Pseudomonadota bacterium. Its description in RNAcentral is "bacterial SSU rRNA". It matches the Rfam family "Bacterial small subunit ribosomal RNA", at positions 61 to 776 of the family's 1533-position model. Lineage: Bacteria; Pseudomonadati; Pseudomonadota. The record is from RNAcentral.